UGGGGAAUAUUGGACAAUGGGCGAAAGCCUGAUCCAGCCAUGCCGCGUGUGUGAAGAAGGUCUUCGGAUUGUAAAGCACUUUAAGUUGGGAGGAAGGGCAGUAAGCGAAUACCUUGCUGUUUUGACGUUACCGACAGAAUAAGCACCGGCUAACUCUGUGCCAGCAGCCGCGGUAAUACAGAGGGUGCAAGCGUUAAUCGGAAUUACUGGGCGUAAAGCGCGCGUAGGUGGUUCGUUAAGUUGAAUGUGAAAGCCCCGGGCUCAACCUGGGAACUGCAUCCAAAACUGGCGAGCUGGAGUAGGGCAGAGGGUGGUGGAAUUUCCUGUGGAGCGGUGAAAUGCGUAGGUAUAGGAAGGAACACCAGUGGCGAAGGCGACCACCUGGGCUCAUACUGACACUGAGGUGCGAAAGCGUGGGGAGCAAACAAG
This 429-nucleotide ribosomal RNA is filed under the name Pseudomonadota bacterium. RNAcentral's name for it is "Proteobacteria bacterium partial 16S ribosomal RNA". It matches the Rfam family "Bacterial small subunit ribosomal RNA", at positions 355 to 776 of the family's 1533-position model. Lineage: Bacteria; Pseudomonadati; Pseudomonadota. The record is from RNAcentral.